RNAcentral lists this ribosomal RNA (546 nucleotides) under Rhodotorula mucilaginosa. RNAcentral's name for it is "partial large subunit ribosomal RNA". It matches the Rfam family "Eukaryotic large subunit ribosomal RNA", at positions 67 to 629 of the family's 3401-position model. The record is from RNAcentral. Lineage: Eukaryota; Fungi; Basidiomycota; Microbotryomycetes; Sporidiobolales; Sporidiobolaceae.
AACAAGGAUUCCCCUAGUAGCGGCGAGCGAAGCGGGAAGAGCUCAAAUUUAUAAUCUGGCACCUUCGGUGUCCGAGUUGUAAUCUCUAGAAAUGUUUUCCGCGUUGGACCGCACACAAGUCUGUUGGAAUACAGCGGCAUAGUGGUGAGACCCCCGUAUAUGGUGCGGACGCCCAGCGCUUUGUGAUACAUUUUCGAAGAGUCGAGUUGUUUGGGAAUGCAGCUCAAAUUGGGUGGUAAAUUCCAUCUAAAGCUAAAUAUUGGCGAGAGACCGAUAGCGAACAAGUACCGUGAGGGAAAGAUGAAAAGCACUUAGGAAAGAGAGUUAACAGUACGUGAAAUUGUUGGAAGGGAAACGCUUGAAGUCAGACUUGCUUGCCGAGCAAUCGGUUUGCAGGCCAGCAUCAGUUUUCCGGGAUGGAUAAUGGUAGAGAGAAGGUAGCAGUUUCGGCUGUGUUAUAGCUCUCUGCUGGAUACAUCUUGGGGGACUGAGGAACGCAGUGUGCCUUUGGCGGGGGUUUCGACCUCUUCACACUUAGGAUGCUGG